RNAcentral lists this ribosomal RNA (640 nucleotides) under Pseudomonas sp. RNAcentral's name for it is "bacterial SSU rRNA". It matches the Rfam family "Bacterial small subunit ribosomal RNA", at positions 61 to 696 of the family's 1533-position model. The record is from RNAcentral. Lineage: Bacteria; Pseudomonadati; Pseudomonadota; Gammaproteobacteria; Pseudomonadales; Pseudomonadaceae.
GUCGAGCGGUAGAGAGAAGCUUGCUUCUCUUGAGAGCGGCGGACGGGUGAGUAAUGCCUAGGAAUCUGCCUGGUAGUGGGGGAUAACGUUCGGAAACGAACGCUAAUACCGCAUACGUCCUACGGGAGAAAGCAGGGGACCUUCGGGCCUUGCGCUAUCAGAUGAGCCUAGGUCGGAUUAGCUAGUUGGUGAGGUAAUGGCUCACCAAGGCGACGAUCCGUAACUGGUCUGAGAGGAUGAUCAGUCACACUGGAACUGAGACACGGUCCAGACUCCUACGGGAGGCAGCAGUGGGGAAUAUUGGACAAUGGGCGAAAGCCUGAUCCAGCCAUGCCGCGUGUGUGAAGAAGGUCUUCGGAUUGUAAAGCACUUUAAGUUGGGAGGAAGGGCAGUUACCUAAUACGUAAUUGUUUUGACGUUACCGACAGAAUAAGCACCGGCUAACUCUGUGCCAGCAGCCGCGGUAAUACAGAGGGUGCAAGCGUUAAUCGGAAUUACUGGGCGUAAAGCGCGCGUAGGUGGUUUGUUAAGUUGAAUGUGAAAUCCCCGGGCUCAACCUGGGAACUGCAUCCAAAACUGGCAAGCUAGAGUAUGGUAGAGGGUGGUGGAAUUUCCUGUGUAGCGGUGAAAUGCGUAGAUA